Molecule: ribosomal RNA, 434 nt
Filed under: uncultured bacterium
Lineage: Bacteria
Description: partial 16S ribosomal RNA
Rfam family: Bacterial small subunit ribosomal RNA
Source: RNAcentral
AGCGAACGCUGGCGGCAGGCCUAACGCAUGCAAGUCGAACGAACCUUUCGGGGUUAGUGGCGGACGGGUGAGUAACACGUGGGAACGUGCCUUUAGGUUCGGAAUAACUCAGGGAAACUUGUGCUAAUACCGAAUGUGCCCUUCGGGGGAAAGAUUAAUCGCCUUUAGAGCGGCCCGCGUCUGAUUAGCUAGUUGGUUGAGGUAAUGGCUCACCAAGGCGACGAUCAGUAGCUGGUCUGAGAGGAUGAUAAGCCACAUUGGGACUGAGACACGGCCCAAACUCCUACGGGAGGCAGCAGUGGGGAAUCUUGCGCAAUGGGCGAAAGCCUGACGCAGCCAUGCCGCGUGAAUGAUGAAGGUCUUAGGAUUGUAAAAUCCUUUCACCGGGGACGAUAAUGACGGUACCCGGAGAAGAAGCCCCGGCUAACUUCGUG